RNAcentral lists this ribosomal RNA (474 nucleotides) under uncultured soil bacterium. RNAcentral's name for it is "bacterial SSU rRNA". It matches the Rfam family "Bacterial small subunit ribosomal RNA", at positions 26 to 518 of the family's 1533-position model. The record is from RNAcentral.
AGGACGAACGCUGGCGGCGUGCUUAACACAUGCAAGUCGAGCGGUAAGGCCUUUCGGGGUACACGAGCGGCGAACGGGUGAGUAACACGUGGGUGAUCUGCCCUGCACUCUGGGAUAAGCCUGGGAAACUGGGUCUAAUACCGGAUAUGACCUGCUCUCGCAUGGGGGUGGGUGGAAAGAUUUAUCGGUGCAGGAUGGGCCCGCGGCCUAUCAGCUUGUUGGUGGGGUAAUGGCCUACCAAGGCGACGACGGGUAGCCGACCUGAGAGGGUGACCGGCCACACUGGGACUGAGACACGGCCCAGACUCCUACGGGAGGCAGCAGUGGGGAAUAUUGCACAAUGGGCGAAAGCCUGAUGCAGCGACGCCGCGUGAGGAUGAAGGCCUUCGGGUUGUAAACCUCUUUCAGCAGGACGAAGCGCGAAGUGACGGUACCUGCAGAAGAAGCGACCGCUAACUACGUGCCAGCAGCCGC